Molecule: ribosomal RNA, 460 nt
Filed under: uncultured bacterium
Lineage: Bacteria
Description: partial 16S ribosomal RNA
Rfam family: Bacterial small subunit ribosomal RNA
Source: RNAcentral
CCUACGGGAGGCAGCAGUGAGGAAUAUUGGUCAAUGGACGAGAGUCUGAACCAGCCAAGUAGCGUGAAGGAUGACUGCCCUAUGGGUUGUAAACUUCUUUUAUAAAGGAAUAAAACGAGCCACGUGUGCCUUUUUGCAUGUACUCUAUGAAUAAGGAUCGGCUAACUCCGUGCCAGCAGCCGCGGUAAUACGGAGGAUGCGAGCGUUAUCCGGAUUUAUUGGGUUUAAAGGGAGCGUAGGUGGGUUGUUAAGUCAGUGGUGAAAGUUUGCGGCUCAACCGUAAAAUUGCAGUUGAUACUGGCAGUCUUGAGUACAGUUGAGGUAGGCGGAAUGCGUGGUGUAGCGGUGAAAUGCUUAGAUAUCACGAAGAACCCCGAUUGCGAAGGCAGCUUACUAAACUGUGACUGACAUUGAUGCUCGAAAGUGUGGGGAUCAAACAGGAUUAGAUACCCCUGUAGUC